This is an unclassified non-coding RNA of Cavia porcellus (domestic guinea pig), 100 nucleotides long. It matches the Rfam family "Y RNA". Rfam says of the family: Y RNAs are components of the Ro ribonucleoprotein particle (Ro RNP), in association with Ro60 and La proteins. The Y RNAs and Ro60 and La proteins are well conserved, but the function of the Ro RNP is not known. The record is from Ensembl. NCBI's taxonomy places the organism in Eukaryota, Metazoa, Chordata, Mammalia, Rodentia, Caviidae.
GGCUGGUCUGAUGGCAGUGGGUUAUCAGAACUUAUUAACAUUAGUGUCAUUAAAGUUGGUAUACCACCCCCCCCCCACUGCUAAAUUUGACUGGCUUUUA